CCUACGGGUGGCAGCAGUGAGGAAUAUUGGUCAAUGGGCGCGAGCCUGAACCAGCCAAGUAGCGUGAAGGAUGACUGCCCUACGGGUUGUAACCUUCUUUUAUAAAGGAAUAAAGUGAGGUACGUGUGCCUUUUUGUCUGUCCUUUAUGAAUCAGGAUCUGCUAACUCCGUGCCAGCAGCCGCGGUCAUACGGAGGAUCCGAGCGUUAUCCGGAUUUAUUGGGUUUAAAGGGAGCGUAGAUGGGUUGUUAAGUCAGUUGUGAAAGUUUGCUGCUCAACCGUAAAAUUGCAAUUGAUACUGGCAGUCUUGAGUACAGUUGAGGUAGGCGGAAUUCGUGGUGUAGCGGUGAAAUGCUUAGAUAUCACGAAGAACUCCGAUUGCGAAGGCAGCUUACUAAACUGCCACUGACAUUGAUGCUCGAAAGUGUGGGUAUCAAACAGGAUUAGAUACCCGAGUAGUC
This 460-nucleotide ribosomal RNA is filed under the name uncultured bacterium. RNAcentral's name for it is "partial 16S ribosomal RNA". It matches the Rfam family "Bacterial small subunit ribosomal RNA", at positions 338 to 795 of the family's 1533-position model. The record is from RNAcentral.